Molecule: ribosomal RNA, 1101 nt
Filed under: Christiangramia portivictoriae
Lineage: Bacteria; Pseudomonadati; Bacteroidota; Flavobacteriia; Flavobacteriales; Flavobacteriaceae
Description: bacterial SSU rRNA
Rfam family: Bacterial small subunit ribosomal RNA
Source: RNAcentral
UACGGGAGGCAGCAGUGAGGAAUAUUGGACAAUGGAGGCAACUCUGAUCCAGCCAUGCCGCGUGCAGGAAGACGGCCCUAUGGGUUGUAAACUGCUUUUAUACGGGAAGAACCACAUCUACGUGUAGAUGCUUGACGGUACCGUAUGAAUAAGGACCGGCUAACUCCGUGCCAGCAGCCGCGGUAAUACGGAGGGUCCAAGCGUUAUCCGGAAUCAUUGGGUUUAAAGGGUCCGUAGGCGGGAUAAUAAGUCAGUGGUGAAAGUCUGCAGCUCAACUGUAGAAUUGCCAUUGAUACUGUUGUUCUUGAAUUAUUAUGAAGUGGUUGGAAUGAGUAGUGUAGCGGUGAAAUGCAUAGAUAUUACUCAGAACACCUAUUGCGAAGGCAGAUCACUAAUAAUAUAUUGACGCUGAGGGACGAAAGCGUAGGUAGCGAACAGGAUUAGAUACCCUGGUAGUCUACGCCGUAAACGAUGGUUACUAGCUGUUCGGCUCGAUUGAGAGCUGAGUGGUUAAGCGAAAGUGAUAAGUAACCCACCUGGGGAGUACGUUCGCAAGAAUGAAACUCAAAGGAAUUGACGGGGGCCCGCACAAGCGGUGGAGCAUGUGGUUUAAUUCGAUGAUACGCGAGGAACCUUACCAGGGCUUAAAUGCAGUUGGACAGGUCUGGAAACAGACCCUUCUUCGGACUAAUUGCAAGGUGCUGCAUGGUUGUCGUCAGCUCGUGCCGUGAGGUGUCAGGUUAAGUCCUAUAACGAGCGCAACCCCUGUGGUUAGUUGCCAGCGAGUCAUGUCGGGAACUCUAGCCAGACUGCCAGUGCAAACUGUGAGGAAGGUGGGGAUGACGUCAAAUCAUCACGGCCCUUACGUCCUGGGCCACACACGUGCUACAAUGGUAGGGACAGAGGGCAGCUACCCCGCGAGGGGAUGCGAAUCUUCAAACCCUAUCACAGUUCGGAUCGCAGUCUGCAACUCGACUGCGUGAAGCUGGAAUCGCUAGUAAUCGCAUAUCAGCCAUGAUGCGGUGAAUACGUUCCCGGGCCUUGUACACACCGCCCGUCAAGCCAUGGAAGCCGGGGGUACCUGAAGUCCGUCACCGUAAG